Maniola jurtina (meadow brown) is the source of this 170-nucleotide long non-coding RNA. RefSeq lists it as uncharacterized. The transcript is spliced from 3 exons. The record is from RefSeq and is a predicted model, not a curated record. Lineage: Eukaryota; Metazoa; Arthropoda; Insecta; Lepidoptera; Nymphalidae.
UUUUUAAUACUUGUUCUUUUAUUCCUGUUAGUAUUAUUUUUAAAUAAUUUUUAUUUGCCUACCUGUACUUAGGUUUUGUAUAUUCCUUGGGUUUCUGAAUGUAAAAAGUGGCUUUCGUAUUUAUAUUGUAUGCAUUUUGUAAAUAGUAAUAAAGUUUACAUUAUAUUAAA